This 372-nucleotide ribosomal RNA is filed under the name uncultured prokaryote. RNAcentral's name for it is "bacterial SSU rRNA". It matches the Rfam family "Bacterial small subunit ribosomal RNA", at positions 524 to 896 of the family's 1533-position model. The record is from RNAcentral.
UACGUAGGGUGCGAGCGUUAAUCGGAAUUACUGGGCGUAAAGCGUGCGCAGGCGGAUGUUUAAGUCAGAUGUGAAAUCCCCGGGCUCAACCUGGGAAUGGCAUUUGAAACUGGGCAUCUAGAGUGCGUCAGAGGGGGGUGGAAUUCCACGUGUAGCAGUGAAAUGCGUAGAGAUGUGGAGGUACACCGAUGGCGAAGGCAGCGCCCUGGGAUGACACUGACGCUCAUGCACAAAAGCGUGGGGAACAAACAUGAUUAGAUACCCUGGUAGUACACGCCCUAAACUAUGUCAACUAGUUGUUGGGGACGUAAGUUCUUAGUGACGAAGCUAACGCGUGAAGUUGACCGCCUGGGGAGUACGGCCGCAAGGUUG